UCGAUAUAUUAUACUCCUCCUCGACCCCUCCUUCACCUCACUCCCCUUCCGCAGCGGCCGCCAUCGGCACCACCACCGUCACUAACCAUGACAACUUUAAUUUUCGCCCCCGCAACCACCGGCACUGCCCUUGAAACAAACGUGAUGAGAAAAAUCUUCGUUAGACGCUGCCACCACCACCACAGUGACUGCGGAUGAGGAAGACAACGACCCUCGUCUUCUGCAACCAAGCCGAUUGCGUUUACGGGGAACGCCCU
This 257-nucleotide long non-coding RNA is filed under the name Ananas comosus (pineapple). RNAcentral's name for it is "long non-coding RNA (ACOM_LNC007326)". Lineage: Eukaryota; Viridiplantae; Streptophyta; Magnoliopsida; Poales; Bromeliaceae. The record is from RNAcentral.